Molecule: ribosomal RNA, 372 nt
Filed under: uncultured bacterium
Lineage: Bacteria
Description: bacterial SSU rRNA
Rfam family: Bacterial small subunit ribosomal RNA
Source: RNAcentral
GACGAACGCUGGCGGCGUGCUUAACACAUGCAAGUCGAGCGAGGUCCACUCGGUGGCAACACCGGGGAAGACCUAGCGGCGAACGGGUGAGUAACACGUGAGCAACCUGCCCCGAAGACCGGGAUAACACCGGGAACCGGUGCUAAUACCGGAUGUCCUCAUUGGGCCGCAUGGUCUGAUGAGGAAAUGGAUUCCGCUUCGGUAGGGGCUCGCGGGCUAUCAGCUUGUUGGUGAGGAACGGCUCACCAAGGCUACGACGGCUAGCUGGUCUGAGAGGACGACCAGCCACACUGGGACUGAGACACGGCCCAGACUCCUACGGGAGGCAGCAGUGGGGAAUCUUGCGCAAUGGGCGAAAGCCUGACGCAGCAA